Molecule: ribosomal RNA, 1555 nt
Filed under: Streptococcus salivarius
Lineage: Bacteria; Bacillati; Bacillota; Bacilli; Lactobacillales; Streptococcaceae
Also listed under: 1 other name
Description: bacterial SSU rRNA
Rfam family: Bacterial small subunit ribosomal RNA
Source: RNAcentral
UUAAUGAGAGUUUGAUCCUGGCUCAGGACGAACGCUGGCGGCGUGCCUAAUACAUGCAAGUAGAACGCUGAAGAGAGGAGCUUGCUCUUCUUGGAUGAGUUGCGAACGGGUGAGUAACGCGUAGGUAACCUGCCUUGUAGCGGGGGAUAACUAUUGGAAACGAUAGCUAAUACCGCAUAACAAUGGAUGACCCAUGUCAUUUAUUUGAAAGGGGCAAAUGCUCCACUACAAGAUGGACCUGCGUUGUAUUAGCUAGUAGGUGAGGUAACGGCUCACCUAGGCGACGAUACAUAGCCGACCUGAGAGGGUGAUCGGCCACACUGGGACUGAGACACGGCCCAGACUCCUACGGGAGGCAGCAGUAGGGAAUCUUCGGCAAUGGGGGCAACCCUGACCGAGCAACGCCGCGUGAGUGAAGAAGGUUUUCGGAUCGUAAAGCUCUGUUGUAAGUCAAGAACGAGUGUGAGAGUGGAAAGUUCACACUGUGACGGUAGCUUACCAGAAAGGGACGGCUAACUACGUGCCAGCAGCCGCGGUAAUACGUAGGUCCCGAGCGUUGUCCGGAUUUAUUGGGCGUAAAGCGAGCGCAGGCGGUUUGAUAAGUCUGAAGUUAAAGGCUGUGGCUCAACCAUAGUUCGCUUUGGAAACUGUCAAACUUGAGUGCAGAAGGGGAGAGUGGAAUUCCAUGUGUAGCGGUGAAAUGCGUAGAUAUAUGGAGGAACACCGGUGGCGAAAGCGGCUCUCUGGUCUGUAACUGACGCUGAGGCUCGAAAGCGUGGGGAGCGAACAGGAUUAGAUACCCUGGUAGUCCACGCCGUAAACGAUGAGUGCUAGGUGUUGGAUCCUUUCCGGGAUUCAGUGCCGCAGCUAACGCAUUAAGCACUCCGCCUGGGGAGUACGACCGCAAGGUUGAAACUCAAAGGAAUUGACGGGGGCCCGCACAAGCGGUGGAGCAUGUGGUUUAAUUCGAAGCAACGCGAAGAACCUUACCAGGUCUUGACAUCCCGAUGCUAUUUCUAGAGAUAGAAAGUUACUUCGGUACAUCGGUGACAGGUGGUGCAUGGUUGUCGUCAGCUCGUGUCGUGAGAUGUUGGGUUAAGUCCCGCAACGAGCGCAACCCCUAUUGUUAGUUGCCAUCAUUCAGUUGGGCACUCUAGCGAGACUGCCGGUAAUAAACCGGAGGAAGGUGGGGAUGACGUCAAAUCAUCAUGCCCCUUAUGACCUGGGCUACACACGUGCUACAAUGGUUGGUACAACGAGUUGCGAGUCGGUGACGGCAAGCUAAUCUCUUAAAGCCAAUCUCAGUUCGGAUUGUAGGCUGCAACUCGCCUACAUGAAGUCGGAAUCGCUAGUAAUCGCGGAUCAGCACGCCGCGGUGAAUACGUUCCCGGGCCUUGUACACACCGCCCGUCACACCACGAGAGUUUGUAACACCCGAAGUCGGUGAGGUAACCUUUUGGAGCCAGCCGCCUAAGGUGGGAUAGAUGAUUGGGGUGAAGUCGUAACAAGGUAGCCGUAUCGGAAGGUGCGGCUGGAUCACCUCCUUUCUAAGGAA